Molecule: transfer RNA, 72 nt
Filed under: Capsella rubella
Lineage: Eukaryota; Viridiplantae; Streptophyta; Magnoliopsida; Brassicales; Brassicaceae
Rfam family: tRNA
About the family: Transfer RNA (tRNA) molecules are approximately 80 nucleotides in length. Their secondary structure includes four short double-helical elements and three loops (D, anti-codon, and T loops).
Source: Rfam by way of RNAcentral
GCCGUCUUAGCUCAGUGGUAGAGGGCGUGGCUUUUAUCCACGUGCCCGUGGGUUCGAUCCCCUCAGACGGCG